UAAUACCUAACUCUCAGGAUCGCUGAGGAUCAAAUGAGAUAACGAAUGUGAAAGCACUUCAUACACUCUGAAGCGCUUCACACAUUGGUUGUUAUCGUCAUUGUCAUCAUUAUUAGCAUCCCCUCUUCCACCCCCACCCCACUCCCAGCCAAACCCACCGGUAGGAAAAGUGACUUCAGAGCUAAUCCACACUUAAAGGGUUUCGUUUCUUUUAUCCCACCCAGGGGAUUUCUGUUUCACGAGAAGAGCCAGAAAACGGACCUCUCAGCAGUUCCCUUCUCAAUGAAUCUCCUGCUGACCCUCAGCUGGUGAUAUGAGCAGCCUGUUGAAUAUGGACAGACAUUCCUCGGUCCUGCCUCCCUGCAAGGUGCAAUGACCCCUUCCCCCCAGGAGAGGGAGCACUUCCAGGCCCCGGCAUCUCAGAGUGGGACAAUCUUGACUGUCGUGCUGCCUGCCCCCUUGGGUCGGAAGUGGCGGGGGACGAAGCCCAGAGGGGAGCUGAGGCCAGUGGGGGCUGGGGUGCCCAGGCCUCUCU
This is a non-coding RNA of Equus caballus (horse), 535 nucleotides long. The record is from RefSeq and is a predicted model, not a curated record. Lineage: Eukaryota; Metazoa; Chordata; Mammalia; Perissodactyla; Equidae.